This is a long non-coding RNA of Melospiza melodia melodia, 2552 nucleotides long. RefSeq lists it as uncharacterized. The record is from RefSeq and is a predicted model, not a curated record. The transcript has 7 exons. NCBI's taxonomy places the organism in Eukaryota, Metazoa, Chordata, Aves, Passeriformes, Passerellidae.
CUUGGCCCCCGUGACAGCUGGGCUCUUAUUACCAGGGGCACAACUUGUGCUUCUGCUCAUGGGCAUGGCUACUUACCAACCUGAGGGUGCCAGCUGAGAGCAUGGAAAGGGUUUGGGAAGUUGGUGUUCUGGUGACCAAGCUUCCCCCGACAGCAGUGGCAUGAGCUCAGCUCCACUAAAGGAUACAGAGCACCAGUGGGCAACAGCCGAUGGUCAAACAUGUUGAACAUUUAAAGAGAACACUGCAGUUCUGCCAAUGACUUUAUACCUUCAGGAAGGGAAUUAGAUUUUCAUGAUGAAAAGAAGGGAAGAUACAUAUUGCUGGGAAAACCUCCAAAGGUCUGGAUUGAAGAGAAGAGAUGUAAUGCCCAUACAUGGGGGUAAAAAAGCAUGAGGGACUGAUUGGGAAUCAAGCAUUCAGCCUACAGCCAUUAAAGGGAAACAGUUGGUUUGUCUUUUUCUUAAAGCCAUCAAGUUUCAGCUACUAUUUUUCAUGCAGUCACCCCUCCUCCAAGGUGUGUUACAUGUGGCUGUAACAUGUUUGUAGCCAGAAUUUUCUCUGGAACCAGCACACACAGAGCAAGAUGACUUUUUGGUGGUUCUGCAGUGGGAUACAGCUGCAGAGUGCAUCCAGCCAGGAUGAACUGAUGCAGAUGCUUUCUUGGGAGGAGGAGGAGGAAGAGAACACUGAGAAGUGUCUGGUUGUGAAGAGGUCAAGAGGAGGAAGAUCUUCCAUUGUGAGGUGUAGCGGGGACAGGGCAGUUUGGGAGCAGGAGCACCCAAGGGGAGCUGGCAGCAAGACCAUCUUACAGCAAGGAGACGUUUCCUGUGGUGCUCUGCUGGCUUCAUGAGAUUAAUGACCUCAGCACUUCACAGAUAAGUCUUUCUGUGUGAAUGUGAUCUUCUCCUGUGUGUACAAGGGCACGCAGCCACUAAAAAAACACAUGCAUGAGAAAGAAUGGAUGAUAAAGCUAGCAGUGAAACUGAGGUGCUGGAGCAUUCUCAUUAGAGAUGCCAUUGUUUUGUGUAAAGUGUAGAUUUCAAUAUAUUCAGUAAUGGUGAUUAAAAUGAUGAGUUUCCCUACAUGGUAAGCCUUGCCACUCUGAUCAAAUCCACCUUGUGAAAUUCUGUAUGCAUGAGAUCCCAAGAUAUAGUUUUGGCAAUCUCAGCUUUAACAUCUGGGUUCAGCUGUGGCAGUGCACUGCUCACAUGCUUAUUCUAACAACCAAGGGGGAAAAUGUCCAGAUCUUUGCAUAUUAGUUCCUAAAAGGGUACUGAUAUGGCUUAAAAUGUCAGGCCACUCUGGCAUUUUUCUGAACCUUUGAUCACUUUAGGAAUAUUUUGGUGAUGCCAUUCAAAUGUUUCUCAAAAAACUGUUGCCACAAAGAAAAAUUUAUUGCCGUGUUACUUAGAACCAUGGCAUAACCAAACCACCUGGAUGGUCUUGGGGAACUUCCUUCAGAGGAUGGAAGGUAGAGGAAGGGAUUCUCUCUCAUCCCCCAUCAGCCUUUUUUACCUUCAUCUGAGCACUUUGGGAGCAGUUCCUGUCCAUGGAAAACUUCAGCCUUUCCUUGAAGCUGCAGAGUGCCAUGUCAGGCUUCGGAGGCACCUGCUCCCACUUCUGGGAGGAAGACCCUGUGCAGUGUGUCCCGUGCUCCCUUCAGGGGACACCCAGACACACACUUGCUGUGUCCCAGGGUGGUUUGAGGAGUGCAGAGCACGUUUUCUGUAGGAAAACAGAAAGAAACACAUCCCUCUUCCAGCUUUGUAUGAGUCAAAAGUUCUGAAAGGUCUGCACUGCCAGGACAGGAUCCAUAGGCAUCAGCAUGACAAGAGUGACACUCAAUACAUGUUAGAGAUUGAUGUACAACACCUCUCAUCUCUACAGAGUAUGGUACAGAGGAAAGGAGGACCACAAAUGGCAUGUUUUGAGGUAAAAAACAGCUGCCUCCAUUCAUGGAGGGGUCAAAAUCAUCUUCAACAUUAAUGACUUUUUAAUUUAUGUUUUCCAGUGCUAGUGAAGCCUAACUAAUAUAUGAACAGUGUUUUAAAACCAAAUUCUUGUUCCUGUCAGGAAGCCCCAAUUCAAGAUGCACUGAUCCAUUCCUUCCCAUAGUGAGAUUAGGAAUUUGUUGAAACGAGGGGUGUGCACAAAACACACCACCACAGUCCAGUGUGUCCUGCUAUAGCAGCACAGGUAGGAGCCUUGAGAAAAGUAUGUCAUGUUCUUAUCCUGCAGCUAGUGCGUUCUGUAGCAUCUCCUCUAUUCAAACCAGCUCCUAACUUAUUUACACAAAAGGUGGAGUCCCCAUCUUUAGUUGGACAGGCUUCUUUCUCGCCCUUCCAUAUCUACCAGCCUGCAUUUUCUAUCUGUGAUAAUUGAACCAUUCCCAUAGUAAAUGACUGUGUGCUUGGAGAGAGGCCCAGGUACCAAAGUGUGGGAGUGCUGCGUGACUGCAGGGAAGUGAGGAACUGCAGCAAGAGCUCUGUGGGUUUAACCAGCUUCCUGGGGAACAUGCAGUCACUGACUCUUCCCAGCGCACAGCACGGAA